Molecule: long non-coding RNA, 5787 nt
Filed under: Brachypodium distachyon (stiff brome)
Lineage: Eukaryota; Viridiplantae; Streptophyta; Magnoliopsida; Poales; Poaceae
Description: long non-coding RNA (BDIS_LNC003749)
Source: RNAcentral
UUGUUGAAGUCCUCGUCCCAGUGCAGCGGCGCGGCGGCGUCGGGCGGGCAGCGGACCCCGAAGUGCGCGAAGGCGUCGUUGUAGGCCUGCAUGUGGAAGUGCUCCGACUCCAGUAUGACGCCGUCGCAGUCGAAGAUGAGGGCGUCGAGCGACGGCGGCGGGGAGGAGGCCGAGGCGGAGACGACGAGCCGGGACGCACGGCGUGGGCGGAGGAAAGGGAGGCCGGAGGGGGAGCGGCGAGCCGCGGCGGCCGUGUAGAAGGAGGUGUGGAUGAGAAGGGAAGUGGAAGCCAUGUUGGAAAUUUGGAUUGAGUGUUUGGGUGCAGAGGAGACUGGGACGGAAUUGGCGCGAAUUGUUCAAGAGUGAGUGGCUGCUUAUGUGGCUCUUUUCCCUUUCUUAUCGCGUAUGAGAGGAGGGAAACGGAGCAGAUUUGAAAUGCUAGAUUCAGAUCUUUCUAGGAAAUUCUAGGUAGUUUCAGAGAAUAAAGUUAUUCUGAUCGGAUUUAUACUAACUUUAUGUCCAGUAAAAAAUACUGUAGGUGCUCCAUAUUCUGCAAGUUGAUCAAGUUGUAUGUAAAAAACAAAAAUUUUAAAUCACGAGGGACUCCUUCUGUCGCUGGUCUGGUGUGGACUCUGGAAGCGUCUAUAGUUUUUCCGUAGGGUCGAUCUGCCCGUCACGGUCAGGGGAAUGGUGCUGGAGGCAGGGCCAUGACAAGUGGAGACGGCCGCGUGCGUCUCAAGGGCCGGGCGGCCAUAGAGUGGCGCCGAUACCACAAUCCUUAAUGUUAUGGUCUACUAAUCGAGAAGUUUUUCUUACCACAUCACCUACCAAUUUGAGUAUGAUGUACAAUUUGUUAAUUUUGAUUUGACAUUGCCGAAUUGUGCUGUGUUAAACUUAUUUUGUAAUCUAUUAUACAAAAAUACACACAAAAGCAAAAAAGAAAAAAAAAAGUUGGUCGAACAAAAAAUAGGCAAAAGUUGGUUGCAAAAUAUUGCUUAUCAUAAUCCACCUCCACGACAAAUACAAGCUUAAUGUUAAAGCUUCGUCGUUUCAGUCAAAAAUUGUGCGAGCUUGCGUAUAGUAGUAUUUUUUUCAAGACGCCGACGACAAAGAAAUAGAAUAUCGUAAAUAAACAACAAUGAACUUAUUUAUUUAGAGUAUAUACUAAUAGUAAAAAAGUCACAGAAACUAGGAUUAGUCACGACAAAAAUAAAGAUUAAGCUAAUCCGGAACAAAACAUAAAUAUUAAGCUAAUUUCAAAAAUAAAGAUUAAACUUGGGGAAGUCGAUCUCCUUCCUACUCGAAGGCCCACGCGUUCUCCUUGCGGAUCUCCGCCUCCUCCUCCGGCGUGAAGUCGUUCUUGAUCCCGAAGAUCUCGCGGACCUCCUCCGGCUUCUUGCCCUUGAUCAUGUCGGCCACCUUCUGUGCGCACAGGUCCAGCAGCCCCUUGAUGUCCAGGUAGUUGGCCGCCAUGAACAGGUUGUACAGCAAGGUCAGGUCCACGUCGAUGAACUCCGCGUCGAAGCUCUUCAUCUCCUCCUCCUCCUUGGACUUGGACGCGUACGCGGCGGCUUCCGAGCCUUCGCCUGAGGUGGCCGCGGCGGCUUCCGUGCUGUCACCGGAGGCGGCGGCCGCGGGCGCGUGCUUGUUGAGGUACUCGAGGAUCUUGGCGAGGGUCUUGGCGUCGACGUUGGGGAGCGGGAUGUUGCCGCCGGCGCAGUCGUCGUCCUCCAUGGACAGGGCGACUGUUCGCGACAGGCUCGCCGCCGCCUCGGACAGCUCGAAGCUCUCGCCGUCCUGGCUGAUCAGCGUGACCAUCUUCGUCUCGGCGGCGCCGCUCUCUGCUGCCAUCGAUUUCGAUCGCUAGCUGAAGGCUCGAGGUCGUCGAGUCGGGUUACUUUGAAGGGGCUUGGAGCGUACGUGUGAUUGAUUGCUUUGGUGAUAGGCGGCUUGAGGGUCAAUUGGGGGAGUAUUUGUAGGCGCCAGCAGGUAGAGCUAGGGUGGACACCGAGACGGACUCGAGUUGCUGUUGUUUUACGAUCGGAGAACGGAGACGAAGAGGUCUUGUUUCCGAGCUCGAGGUUGACUCUGCUAGCUGCCUUCCCUGAGAUUUUAUUUUUCAUCUGAACAUGUCGGCUAAGCAGAUUUUUUUGCCAAUCCUUUCAUGAAUUUAUAUUGUAUAUAAAAUAAUUAAAUCACUCCAAAGUUCUAAUCCGUAUGAUCCAAAGGGGACAUAAAUUCAAAGGAUUUAGAAAAGACAUAUAUAUGAGGAGAGAUCGGGGUGUGCCGGUUUGCUCUAACGAGCCGUGCCAUUGAGUGGGUGGUGAAAAUUCAAAAUGUUUUGUAGCUGAAACCGUUUAUCCAAUUUAUGAUCUGUCUUCACCCUCGAUUGCAGCUUGACGAUUAGAACAAAUAUGAUGGGACAGAAUCGACCGCAUAAGCAAAAUCAUAUAACCUUCUUCACUUUAAGAAAAUAUUUUGUGCCAACAAUUGUAUUUUUACUUCACACAACAUUGGUUCCCCAGCAGUUGCAGCCUGUAGUUGACCACUUGCUAGUUGCUUGAAACAUCCUAUGCACAAUAGAGCAGUCUGGCCAAUGUUUUGGAAGCUAAUAUCCAUUGGUAAUCAAAGUAUAUUUUUUGUCUGUAUCUAACAUCAACCAUUAAGUAUUCAACAAAAUGACAGCCUUUGGUUCACCAGCAGUACUACCAACCACCGCAGCCGAAACAAAUGUUUGCUCCGUCUUUAUUUACAAAGUAUACCGAGAUUCACGAAGAAUUAAUGUACCGGAGUAUGCUCACUUGAUCUUUGUUCCCAAAUACUUUGGUGGGUCUUGAAGAUUCCAGGAGGCCCAAAUAAGAUGGAUAACAAUGCAGCUUGAAUAUUGACCUGAAAGCCAUUAGGGGCAUAACUUGGACAAUGUUUUCCACCACUAUACCCCCAGAUUUACCGAAAGCUAUGCAAGUCUCACAGAAAGUGCUGAUAUGGGUCUAAACCGAAGAGAAUGGUACCAGAUAGAGAAUUGAACUUACCAUGGUGCAUCACACAUGAAAAAACGGUCAAUGCAUUUCCUGAGGAAAGCAAGAAACUGCACUAUCCAGUGACAACAGCUUCUUGGAGCAGCAGCCUGAGGUCCUCAAACCUGCAAAGAAUUAACAGGUGUGGUUUAUCUGAUGAAUAAAAUCUAAAUAGACAAAAUCAGCACCUACCUCACAUUACUAAGGUCAGGAUAGGUUGCAAUGGCAUCCUUGAAAUCCUAUGGAAAAUUUUAGGAGAUCAGAAUGUGGAAAUGUCACACAAAACAAGAAUUUGUAGCUAAGCUCGAUCUUACUUGGUUAGCAGUUGAAGGUGUAUAUGUUAUUAUACAUGACAUCCCUGCUCCUUUAGCUGCCUAUCAAAAGAAAGGAAUUUCUUGCGUUCAAAAGUACAAAUUAGUUGAUUAAAAACUUGAAAGACUUACUUGUAGUCCAAUAACACUGUCUUCUACUACAAGGCAGUUCUUGCUUUCCACACCUAAUUUCUGGAUCAAACAAUAAAUUCUUUAACAUGACUGAUUUUAAAAGUUGAAAACAUCUGUUUCUGUUGUGUUCACUACCUUUGCUGCUGUAAUAUAUAUUGAUGGAUCAGGUUUCUUCAGUUUAACAUCAUCGCCUGCAACACAACGUAAUUAAGAAUUUUGGGUGUUGUUGAAUGUCUUUUAUAUCUCCCAGAACAAAAACGGUUGCCAAAUAUAAAUAACUUAAGUGCAUUUGAAUAGAAUCUGGCCUUAGAAAAAUGUAAGCCAAAACCUUUACAAGACUUGCAAUUCGUCCCGAUGUCCCUACAUUUCGUAACUUUUGUUACUAGCCAUUAUAAUAUUUCAUUGGAACUGACGCAUUAUUAUCUUUUAAACCAACUAGGAUGACUGAUUUGAAAACUUUGUAAAGAUAAGCAUGCACGUUGCUUCACAUUUUGGUGAUUAUUGCCAGUUAACUUCAAAGCAAGCAUGGUAAACAAGACUAACAGGAUGCAAAAACAACCAGAACUAUACCAGCAAGGAAGCAGUCCAGACCAUUGAAUCGUUCCUAUAAAGCCAUAGGUGAGAAGACAUAUAACCUCAACUGAGAAAACAAAACUUUAUGUAAGGAAUAUGAUAGAGUUAACAUAAGAUCAAUGUAACUUACAAGUCCAAUAAGGUUUUCUAGGCACAGUACCACUGAGCUUUUAGUUGCCGCAGAGCAAACAGCAAGCUUGAUGCCCUACACUAUUAUACCAAAAUCAGCUGAAUUUAAUCUUGAAAGGUAGCUGCCAUAUUUAUUUAAUGUAAUGGAGCAUGAAAUAAGAAUACACCAAAGUUCAUGGUAUAAAAAGAAUUCAUUGAAGUAAAUAAUGUGACGACAUAUUCACCGAGCUAAUAACUAGCACAAAGCAGAAAAAGAUCUUGAAAUAAGUUGUAUUACCGCACCCUUAACUUCAUCCAUCAGACGUAAAACACCAGGUCUAGGCUCCACCUAGAAAUACAGAGCCAAAAAUUAGCAUGAGAUGACGAGCAGAUAAUAUAAUAGGUAUUUAAUUUAUAUUGGAGAAUGAGUAUGAUAUAUACAGGAAAUUCUCAAUGUAUACACUGCACUUACCGUUCCAGAUUUGAUUAUUUCUUUGUAUCUUUCUGUUUUCCAGUCCUGCAAAACAAGUGCUUCUGUCAACAGUGGAAAGAUGACUGAGCAAACAGAUGUCUUGUUUACCUUGAACAGAUGACUUGUGGGAACUGGGGAACAUACAUAUUCCAAACAAUCUUGUAUUAGACAUGGAGCCAAGGAAAUAAAAAGGUAUACCUGAAUAAUGUCAACUAACUUCUCCUUAUCGGAGUCGCUAGAAGGUGGCGUCUCAAAUAGCUUUGAGGAAGGCCACCCAUUUUCCCCAAAGUACCUAACAAAUCCGAUCCAAUUCAUGACAAAUAUUCACACGCGGAUGAAAGUAAUUAAACAGCAAUAUGCUGACAUGCGGCAUUCGUUAUUCCCAUUCGAGCCAGGGGCGGAGCUAGAGAAAACAAGACCCUGGUGCACUCUUCGUAGUGGUACCUGGUGCACCAGCUAAUUAUGAGGCAUAAUUACUGGUAAAAACUAUUUUGGACCCUGGUGCUUGUGCACCAAGGAAGCUCUGAGUAGCUCCGCCCCUGAUUCGAGCAACUUGCCACAUUAACAUUCACAUACCCAUAACCAACUGCAUUCUACCCCUGCAUACAUAAUUUUGUGUUCUACAUUGCAGGAACGUCCGAAGUAGUCCGAACACAGUGCUCACACAAUGUUGGUAAUCAACAAUCAAGCUUGCAAAAAAGCAGCAUAUGUAAACGAAAAAAUGGUGGGCGGAUGAGCGCAGACUCAAUCCCAGUCAUUUGCUCAGGCAAAACAUCAAACAAGCAGAGUGCACAGAAGUACAGAACACGCCGCAAGCUUGCCGGACCUAGAGACGAAUUGCUCUGUGCCCAGCCGUGUACAGGCAGAUUAAUAAUUGCCACUAGCGAGUAAAGCAUCGAGCCGGGCAGGACGUCACGUACCAUCGCAUCUUGGGCUUCCCACCGCCAAUGCGGUUCUGGAGGUCGUCGUAGAAGGCCUCGUCCCAGUCGAGCGGCGCGUCGGCCGCGGGCGGGCAGCGGACCCCGAAGUGCGCGAAGGCGUCGUUGUAGGCCUGCCGGUGGAGGUGCUCCGACUCAAGUAUGACGCCGUCGCAGUCGAAGAUCAGGGCGUCGAGCGACAGCGGCGGGGAGGCCGCCGAUGCGGAGACGGCGAGCCCGGACGCGCGGCGGGAGCG